UUCGGGAAUGGACAUAGAUACAAGCUAGCGGCGGAUGGGGUGAGUAACGCGUGGGUAACCCUGCCCUUAAGUCUGGGAUACCAUUUGGAAAACAGAUGCUAAUACCGGAUAAAAAGCUACUUUCGCAUGAAAGAAAGUUUAAAAAGGCGGCGUAAGCUGUCGCUAAAGGAUGGACCUGCGAUGCAUUAGCUAGUUGGUAAGGUAACGGCUUACCAAGGCGAUGAUGCAUAGCCGAGUUGAGAGACUGAUCGGCCACAUUGGGACUGAGACACCGGACCCAAACUCCUACGGGAGGCAGCAGUAGGGAAUUUCCACAAUGGACGCAAGUCUGAUGGAGCAACGCCGCGUGAGUGAAGAAGGUUUUCGGAUCGUAAAGCUCUGUUGUUGGUGAAGAAGGAUAGAGGUAGUAACUGGCCUUUAUUUGACGGUAAUCAACCAGAAAGUCACGGCUAACUACGUGCCAGCAGCCGCGGUAAAU
RNAcentral lists this ribosomal RNA (478 nucleotides) under uncultured Lactobacillus sp. RNAcentral describes it as "bacterial SSU rRNA". It matches the Rfam family "Bacterial small subunit ribosomal RNA", at positions 75 to 525 of the family's 1533-position model. The record is from RNAcentral. Lineage: Bacteria; Bacillati; Bacillota; Bacilli; Lactobacillales; Lactobacillaceae.